This 445-nucleotide ribosomal RNA is filed under the name uncultured bacterium. RNAcentral's name for it is "partial 16S ribosomal RNA". It matches the Rfam family "Bacterial small subunit ribosomal RNA", at positions 354 to 796 of the family's 1533-position model. The record is from RNAcentral.
GUAAGGAAUAUUGGUCAAUGGACGAAAGUCUGAACCAGCCAUGCCGCGUGGAGGAUGAAGGUCCUCUGGAUUGUAAACUUCUUUUAUAUGGGACGAAAAAAGGCUUUUCUAAGUCGUCUGACGGUACCAUAUGAAUAAGCACCGGCUAACUCCGUGCCAGCAGCCGCGGUAAUACGGAGGGUGCAAGCGUUAUCCGGAUUCACUGGGUUUAAAGGGUGCGUAGGUGGAUUGCCAAGUCCGUGGUGAAAUCUUCGAGCUUAACUCGGAAACUGCCAUGGAUACUGGUGAUCUUGAAUAUCGUGGAGGUUAGCGGAAUAUGUCAUGUAGCGGUGAAAUGCUUAGAUAUGACAUAGAACACCAAUUGCGAAGGCAGCUGGCUACGCGAAUAUUGACACUCAGGCACGAAAGCGUGGGGAUCGAACAGGAUUAGAAACCCUUGUAGUCC